This 1473-nucleotide ribosomal RNA is filed under the name Candidatus Pelagibacter sp. AAA795-M22. RNAcentral's name for it is "bacterial SSU rRNA". It matches the Rfam family "Bacterial small subunit ribosomal RNA". Lineage: Bacteria; Pseudomonadati; Pseudomonadota; Alphaproteobacteria; Candidatus Pelagibacterales; Candidatus Pelagibacteraceae. The record is from RNAcentral.
AACUUGAGAGUUUGAUCAUGGCUCAGAACGUACGCUGGCGGCACGCCUAAUACAUGCAAGUCGAACGAAGUAGCAAUACUUAGUGGCAGACGGGUGAGUAACAUGUAGGUAUCUUCCCAUUGGUGAGGAAUAACACGAGGAAACUUGUGCUAAUACCUCAUAAGUCUUUACGGAGAAAGCUUUAUGCGCCGAUGGAUGAGCCUGCACUUGAUUAGUUUGUUGGUAGGGUAAUGGCCUACCAAGACAAUGAUCAAUAGCUGAUUUGAGAGGAUGAUCAGCCACAUUGGGACUGAGACACGGCCCAAACUCCUACGGGAGGCAGCAGUAGGGAAUCUUGCACAAUGGGGGAAACCCUGAUGCAGCGAUGCCGCGUGAGUGAAGAAGGCCUUUGGGUUGUAAAGCUCUUUCGUCGGGGAAGAAAAUGACUGUACCCGAAUAAGAAGGUCCGGCUAACUUCGUGCCAGCAGCCGCGGUAAUACGAAGGGACCUAGCGUAGUUCGGAAUUACUGGGCUUAAAGAGUUCGUAGGUGGUUAAAAAAGUUGGUGGUGAAAUCCCAGAGCUUAACUCUGGAACUGCCAUCAAAACUUUUUAGCUAGAGUAUGAUAGAGGAAAGCAGAAUUUCUAGUGUAGAGGUGAAAUUCGUAGAUAUUAGAAAGAAUACCAAUUGCGAAGGCAGCUUUCUGGAUCAUUACUGACACUGAGGAACGAAAGCAUGGGUAGCGAAGAGGAUUAGAUACCCUCGUAGUCCAUGCCGUAAACGAUGUGUGUUAGACGUUGGAAAUUUAUUUUCUGUGUCGCAGCGAAAGCAAUAAACACACCGCCUGGGGAGUACGACCGCAAGGUUAAAACUCAAAUGAAUUGACGGGGACCCGCACAAGUAGUGGAGCAUGUGGUUUAAUUCGAAGAUACGCGCAGAACCUUACCAACACUUGACAUGUUCGUCGCGACUUUAAGAGAUUAAAGUUUUCGGUUCGGCCGGACGAAACACAGGUGCUGCAUGGCUGUCGUCAGCUCGUGUCGUGAGAUGUUGGGUUAAGUCCCGCAACGAGCGCAACCCUCACUUUUAGUUGCCAUCAUUUAGUUGGGCACUCUGAAAGAACUGCCAGUGAUAAGCUGGAGGAAGGUGGGGAUGACGUCAAGUCCUCAUGGCCCUUACGUGUUGGGCUACACACGUGCUACAAUGGCAUUUACAAUAGGAAGCAAAACGGCGACGUUAAGCAAAUCCUAAAAAAAUGCCUCAGUUCGGAUUGUACUCUGCAACUCGAGUACAUGAAGCUGGAAUUACUAGUAAUCGCGGAUCAGCGCGCCGCGGUGAAUACGUUCCCGGGUCUUGUACACACCGCCCGUCACACCAUGGGAGUUGGUUCUACCUUAAGGCAAAGCUUAAAACCUUUGACCACGGUAUAGUCAGCGACUGGGGUGAAGUCGUAACAAGGUAGCCGUAGGGGAACCUGCGGCUGGAUUACCUCCUU